Long non-coding RNA from Perca flavescens (yellow perch), 1407 nucleotides. RefSeq lists it as uncharacterized. The transcript has 3 exons. Lineage: Eukaryota; Metazoa; Chordata; Actinopteri; Perciformes; Percidae. The record is from RefSeq and is a predicted model, not a curated record.
CCGUCGUGUGUGAAUCGCAAGCGGGCAGGGUAGAGAAAUCUAAAAUGGAUCCCUUUCUGGUAGAGCAUUGUUUUAAUGUUCUUGAAUUCAGCGUGCUUCUUGGAGAGGGCCGUGCUUAGGUCAGGAUAGAAUCUGAGAGUCUUCCCUUGGUACUGCAGCUUGUGUUGCCUAGCCCAGCGCAAAGCUUGUUCCUUCUCCUGGAAUUGAUGAAAACAGGAUAAUAGGUCUUGGAGGCUUGGAAUCACUGGUACAUCUACAGAUGAAGAUACUUUCUAUUGGAGUAGCCAGCAAUGAAACCAUCAUUGAAGGUGUUAAACAGUUUUUUAGAGAACAGCUUCCGAAUGGAACAGCCUACACGGUCACCGUGACAAACAUUCAAAGGGUUACAGUUGCUCCAUAGAAGCUGCUUGUGGAUAUAUAAUCGCCUCAACCAUUUGAUUUGUCUACAGUUUGAGCACAACACAUCAAUUUACCCAAAUCAUAAGAAGUAUCUGGAUUGCACUAAAGGUACAAGAAAGUUUUUUUUUUAUUAAAGAGGUUUAGAUUUUAGGCUCAGUCCCUUUUUACAUAUCUUUAUCAUCAUUGUCAAAAACAACCCUCUAUUAGGCAACAUUAAGACAUGUUUCACUGUAUAAUCUCCAAACAAUAUUUUCAUUAUCACACUGUUGUCUUUAAUUCCCAGAAAUAUGAAUAGUGGAGAUGUCCAUUUGGCUCAAGUAUCAAAUUACUUGCACACUACAGAGUUUAAGAGUAUCAUACACGAAUGGGGAAACAGUUUACAUAAAAGACUGGCAACGAUAAUCUUGAUGAGUGCCUCAUACCAAGUGUAUGACAGUUGUACCUCGAAUCAUGGAAAUUUAUGUGGUAUAACUGACUGACAGAAUGCACUGUUAUGUUUAUUUAAUGUAAAUCCAUUUUAUCUUGUACCAUUAAGAACAUUUUCAUGUAUUUUUCCAAUUCAUUGGACAAAAAGCACUAUGUGUAUGUUGUGUGUUAGGGGCUCUGCUAUUAAACAACACCUUGAACUUUUUUAGUACAGAGAAGGAAGUCCAAGAAAUUCUGCAUGCAGGUUAACUUCAAAACAUUUCCAUAACAUGGGCUUGAGGCAUACAUAAAUGAUUAAGGGUGGAUUAAGGUGUGGAAUAAGUAGAAAUCAUAAACUGUAAACGGUAGAAAUAUAUAAUUAAAAUGUCACGUGUUUAAGUAAUUAAAAUGUAUUCAUAAAGCACUUUUCACAAGUCUCAAAGUGCUUUACAGGGCCAAACACAAGAAACACAAUACAGAAUGCAUGAUAAGUAUUACGCAUUAACAAUUUGUAAUGCUUAGGUUAGUAUGCAUCAGUCAUUUAUUUUUUGCUUGCUGCUAGGUUUUGCAGCAAAUUGUUUUAUCUUUUCACCUACAGACAUC